CCCUUCGAUGUUCUGGGCCGCACGCGUGUUACACUGAUAAAUUCAACGAGUCUAGAACCUGUUCUGAGAAGAAUGGGGAAUCUUGUGAAAUUUUAUCGUGAUAGGGAUAGAUGAUUGCAAUUAUUCAUCUUAAACGAGGAAUGCCUAGUAAGGGCAGUUCAUCAAACUGUCCUGAUUACGUCCCUGCCCUUUGUACACACCGCCCGUCGCUCCUACCGAUUGAAUGUUCCGGUGAGCUCUUCGGACUGCGCGGUCUGCAGUUUCUGCGUUCCGUGCGGAAAGUUGCGCAAACCUUAACAUUUAGAGGAAGGAGAAGUCGUAACA
This 324-nucleotide ribosomal RNA is filed under the name uncultured eukaryote. Its description in RNAcentral is "partial 18S ribosomal RNA". It matches the Rfam family "Eukaryotic small subunit ribosomal RNA", at positions 1470 to 1796 of the family's 1831-position model. The record is from RNAcentral.